This 72-nucleotide transfer RNA is filed under the name Camelus bactrianus (Bactrian camel). It matches the Rfam family "tRNA". Rfam says of the family: Transfer RNA (tRNA) molecules are approximately 80 nucleotides in length. Their secondary structure includes four short double-helical elements and three loops (D, anti-codon, and T loops). Further hydrogen bonds mediate the characteristic L-shaped molecular structure. tRNAs have two regions of fundamental functional importance: the anti-codon, which is responsible for specific mRNA codon recognition, and the 3' end, to which the tRNAs corresponding amino acid is attached (by aminoacyl-tRNA synthetases). tRNAs cope with the degeneracy of the genetic code in two manners: having more than one tRNA (with a specific anti-codon) for a particular amino acid; and 'wobble' base-pairing, i.e. permitting non-standard base-pairing at the 3rd anti-codon position. The record is from Rfam by way of RNAcentral. RNAcentral also lists the same sequence under 2 other names. Lineage: Eukaryota; Metazoa; Chordata; Mammalia; Artiodactyla; Camelidae.
GAGGGUAUGGCUCAGUGGUAGAGCGAAUGCUUAGCAUGCACAAGGUCCUGGGUUUAAUUCCUAGUACCUCCA